Molecule: ribosomal RNA, 253 nt
Filed under: uncultured bacterium
Lineage: Bacteria
Description: partial 16S ribosomal RNA
Rfam family: Bacterial small subunit ribosomal RNA
Source: RNAcentral
UACGGAGGGGGCAAGCGUUGUUCGGAGUCACUGGGCGUAAAGGGCGCGUAGGCGGUGCGUAAAGUCAGGCGUGAAAGCCCCGGGCUUAACCUGGGAAUUGCGCUUGAUACUGACGUGCUAGAGAACGGGAGAGGAUGGCGGAAUUCCCAGUGUAGAGGUGAAAUUCGUAGAUAUUGGGAAGAACACCGGUGGCGAAGGCGGCCAUCUGGACCGUUUCUGACGCUGAGGCGCGAAAGCGUGGGGAGCGAACAGG